GUCUCCGACUUGUCCUUGCUGGAGCACAGAUGGACCAAGGCUUCCUGGAGAGUUUCUAGUCCGGAAGGUCUGUGGCGGGAGGAAGAGUGCAUCCCUAACAACCCGUUGCUGAUGCUGCUGGCCUGGGAUGACACUGUGAGAGCCACUGUCUUGGGGCCUGGACUCAAGAAAAUAAUCUGGCAGGAUGGUUUCAAUUUGAAAUGCAUAUCCUGUGACCCACCCAAUCCCCACUCCUGGGAAUCUAUGCCACAGAAACAAAUUCAAGUCACUGCCUUUCAAAUCAGAUGAUGCAGCUUGGAUCAGCCCUUGGGUAGGUGGCAGAGUGGAUGCCAGGAAUAGGGUCAUCGUCAGCUGCUGUACCUGGACUUGAGUUCCGGAGUCCACAGCCAUCAAAUCCAUGCUCUCCAGGGAGUCAACUUCCACUAGAUUUUCACUGUCAUUCCAGAUGGAUAAUCUGCAGCCUAUGAACCAAAGGUUAAAUUUAACCACAAUAACAUAAUUCAUACACAAUAAUGAGAGGAAUAAAAGGGAAGGACAGGGAGAAUCGGGA
Molecule: long non-coding RNA, 550 nt
Organism: Sciurus carolinensis (gray squirrel)
Lineage: Eukaryota; Metazoa; Chordata; Mammalia; Rodentia; Sciuridae
Exons: 3
Source: RefSeq, a predicted model, not a curated record